GGCAGAAAUAGAGUAUCUGUAUGAUGAUGAAGGGGAUGAAGCGGCGGAGGAGGAAGGGCAGCGUACUGUGUUGGCCGCCAAGGGAGUCGAUAGCCUGCACGAAGCUGCGGUGGAGGUCGGCGCUCCACCUCAUCCUGGGCUCCUUGGACCGGACGUACCGCCUCACCACAGCGCCGUUCCUGCCGCUGCCCAUCUCCUGGUCUCUUGGAUCGCCAGCAACGACGACGGUUCCUCACACUACUUGGAUGGUAUGGAGCUCACCGGACCGGGCGCUGGCUGGCAAGGAGACGCUCCAGGUGGUAGAGGAAAGAACCAAACUUCCCCUUUUGUUCCCUCCGGCCUCCUCUUCCCGGCUCCUCCCUCGCUCUCUGACUUGCCUGUAAGCCUGUCCAGAGCUGCUGCUGCGGCACGCAGUGUCUCUCUCUCACACACACACGUACAGACAGCUGAAGAUGCAAGAUUUGUUUUUCUAGGGUAAGAUAAGAUGCAAGAUUUGUUGCGAUUUGCGAAUGGAUGAGAAAGACCAAGCUGGUGCCCUUCCUCCCCGCAGGCCGCAGCGCCCUACGCUGUG
Molecule: unclassified non-coding RNA, 571 nt
Filed under: Zea mays
Lineage: Eukaryota; Viridiplantae; Streptophyta; Magnoliopsida; Poales; Poaceae
Description: misc RNA Zm00001eb073800
Source: RNAcentral